GGCGAUCUUGUUAAAAUGCAGAUUCUGAUUCAGUAGGCCUGGAGUGGGGCCUAAGAUUCUGCAUUUUUAACAAACUC
Molecule: microRNA precursor, 77 nt
Filed under: Vicugna pacos (alpaca)
Lineage: Eukaryota; Metazoa; Chordata; Mammalia; Artiodactyla; Camelidae
Description: miRNA (ENSVPAG00000018029.1)
Source: RNAcentral